AUAAGGAGCUUGCUCCUUUGACGUUAGCGGCGGACGGGUGAGUAACACGUGGAUAACCUACCUAUAAGACUGGGAUAACUUCGGGAAACCGGAGCUAAUACCGGAUAACAUAUUGAACCGCAUGGUUCAAUAGUGAAAGGCGGCUUUGCUGUCACUUAUAGAUGGAUCCGCGCCGUAUUAGCUAGUUGGUAAGGUGACGGCUUACCAAGGCAACGAUACGUAGCCGACCUGAGAGGGUGAUCGGCCACACUGGAACUGAGACACGGUCCAGACUCCUACGGGAGGCAGCAGUAGGGAAUCUUCCGCAAUGGGCGAAAGCCUGACGGAGCAACGCCGCGUGAGUGAUGAAGGUCUUCGGAUCGUAAAACUCUGUUAUCAGGGAAGAACAAAUGUGUAAGUAACUGUGCACAUCUUGACGGUACCUGAUCAGAAAGCCACGGCUAACUACGUGCCAGCAGCCGCGGUAAUACGUAGGUGGCAAGCGUUAUCCGGAAUUAUUGGGCGUAAAGCGCGCGUAGGCGGUUUUUUAAGUCUGAUGUGAAAGCCCACGGCUCAACCGUGGAGGGUCAUUGGAAACUGGAAAACUUGAGUGCAGAAGAGGAAAGUGGAAUUCCAUGUGUAGCGGUGAAAUGCGCAGAGAUAUGGAGGAACACCAGUGGCGAAGGCGACUUUCUGGUCUGUAACUGACGCUGAUGUGCGAAAGCGUGGGGAUCAAACAGGAUUAGAUACCCUGGUAGUCCACGCCGUAAACGAUGAGUGCUAAGUGUUA
Molecule: ribosomal RNA, 769 nt
Filed under: Staphylococcus sp.
Lineage: Bacteria; Bacillati; Bacillota; Bacilli; Caryophanales; Staphylococcaceae
Description: bacterial SSU rRNA
Rfam family: Bacterial small subunit ribosomal RNA
Source: RNAcentral